This 77-nucleotide transfer RNA is filed under the name Ictidomys tridecemlineatus (thirteen-lined ground squirrel). RNAcentral's name for it is "Spermophilus tridecemlineatus (thirteen-lined ground squirrel) tRNA". It matches the Rfam family "tRNA". From Rfam's summary of the family: Transfer RNA (tRNA) molecules are approximately 80 nucleotides in length. Their secondary structure includes four short double-helical elements and three loops (D, anti-codon, and T loops). Lineage: Eukaryota; Metazoa; Chordata; Mammalia; Rodentia; Sciuridae. The record is from Rfam by way of RNAcentral. RNAcentral also lists the same sequence under 1 other name.
GGGGAUGUAGCUCAAUUAAUUGGCAGAGUGUUUGCCUAGCAUGUACAAAGCCCUGGGUUCAAUACCCAGCAGUACCA